RNAcentral lists this transfer RNA (77 nucleotides) under uncultured Acidimicrobiales bacterium. Its description in RNAcentral is "tRNA-Val-CAC". It matches the Rfam family "tRNA". From Rfam's summary of the family: Transfer RNA (tRNA) molecules are approximately 80 nucleotides in length. Their secondary structure includes four short double-helical elements and three loops (D, anti-codon, and T loops). Lineage: Bacteria; Bacillati; Actinomycetota; Acidimicrobiia; Acidimicrobiales. The record is from RNAcentral.
GGGCGCAUAGCUCAGCUGGUUAGAGCGCUGCCUUCACACGGCAGAGGUCAGGGGUUCGAGUCCCUUUGCGCCCACCG